CCUUCACAUGACCAUAUGCUAUAAAAAUCAAUUUGAGCAACUAGUUGCCUAUAAAAACAUACCUCAAAAAGUGUCAAAUUCUUUAAGAAACAAAGCUUUGAAAAGUAACGAAACAUAUAGGCUGCAGCAUCUGACACAAUCUUUUAUUUUAUUACAUUUUUUUUUUUACUCAACUCUUGAACAUGGUUGGCUUUAGGACCCUGGGCAACAACAAAUGUCAACAUCCUCCUAGUGCACCACCACCUUCCUAUCAUAUUCCGUAAUCACUCUCCCAUCGUGUGGCAUGCCUAACCUGCUCGUUGUGUAGCCUAAACGAUGUCUUUGUCUCCUAACACAUUAUUUUCUAUUUUAUUUAUUUCCACCAUUUGUACUAUUGCAAACGGUCAACUGGGAGAAUCUAGGCUGAGCGAAAGACCUUACGUGGUGUUCCAGAAUCAAAAUCUGGUACUGCUCGUGAGUGUGUUUUCCGUCCUGCUGGUGUUGAUGAUCAUCAUGGCAGUGUGUGUUUACAAACCUGUGCGUCGUCGGUGAAACAGGCUCCAAGGAAACACCAUUUGACACGGGAGGACACAAUGGGACAAUCACAAGUGGUUCACUCACCCUCGUAUUUGUGUUAAGGAUAGAGCCUUUCGGUUAGGGAACGGGCGGACACUAUCAAACGAAUGAUUUGCUGCUAGGCUACAUAUCCCAUCCUUACCUUAAGCCAUAAUCAUGAAAUCAAAGAUGGGAGGAAUUGGUUUUACAACUGUAAGCUUUGCCCACUUGCAUACUCGAGUGUGCAGUACCCGAGCCUAAAUAGGCUACUGUUGAAACGCUUUUUUCUAGUUUCAUUUGAACCACUGUCAGUGAAAUAUGUAUUCACUUCACUAUUAUAGCAGCCUAUUAGUUGCAGAAUAGGCCCAGGUUACUGCGAUUUCAGAACCCUUUUAUGCUGCUGUUUUGUCACCUUUACUACCUAAAAUGUGCACUUUUACUUCUUUGCAAGGAGAAUGUACCUGUUAUUUAUCAGUCUUAUUUUGGUGUAAAUAUUUAUUGCUAGUAUUUUAUUUUUGUUUGUGAAUAUGUUGUGUUUUGGUGGAAUAAAUUGGGGAUGUGUUCUAUAACAUUGGUAUAAACUAGUUGUUUUCUGUAUCAGCUACAGUGAUUAGUCCACUGAUCUGUAUCAACCACUGCCAAACACUGCACCUUUGAUAAUGGUCAUAGAGAAAUUAAAAGUAUCCAAAAAGA
This is a long non-coding RNA of Clupea harengus (Atlantic herring), 1227 nucleotides long. RefSeq lists it as uncharacterized. The record is from RefSeq and is a predicted model, not a curated record. NCBI's taxonomy places the organism in Eukaryota, Metazoa, Chordata, Actinopteri, Clupeiformes, Clupeidae.